ACGAUUGCAUCACGCUGAAAACACCGGUUCUCCUUCGAUCAUCGCAGUUAAGCAGCAUCAAGUUCGAUCAAUACUUAGAUGGGGGACCACUUGGGAACAUCU
This is a non-coding RNA of Acanthosepion pharaonis, 102 nucleotides long. NCBI's taxonomy places the organism in Eukaryota, Metazoa, Mollusca, Cephalopoda, Sepiida, Sepiidae. The record is from the annotation of a GenBank genome assembly.